Molecule: ribosomal RNA, 497 nt
Filed under: uncultured bacterium
Lineage: Bacteria
Description: partial 16S ribosomal RNA
Rfam family: Bacterial small subunit ribosomal RNA
Source: RNAcentral
GGGGGGGGGGGGGGGGGGGGGGGGUGGGGGGCGGGGGGGGGGACGGGUGGAGGGCUGGCUCCUUUGUCGUUAGCGGCGGACGGGUGCGUAAGCCGUGGGUACCCCCCUUAUAAAACGGGUAUCACUUCGGGACCCCGUACCUAAUCCCGGAUACUCUUUGGACCCGCAUGGUUCGAAAGUCAACGAUCGUUUUCCUCUCCCUCCUAGCUUGACCCGCGCCGUAUUAGCUAGUUUGUAAGGUAACGGCUUACCAAGGCGACGAUACGUAGCCGACCUGAGAGGGUGAUCGGCCACACUGGAACUGAGACACGGUCCAGACGCCUACGGGAGGCAGCAGUAGGGAAUCUUCCGCAAUGGGCGAAAGCCUGACGGAGCAACGCCGCGUGAGUGAUGAAGGUCUUCGGAUCGUAAAACUCUGUUAUUAGGGAAGAACAUACGUGUAAGUAACUGUGCACGUCUUGACGGUACCUAAUCAGAAAGCCACGGCUAACUACGUG